Astatotilapia calliptera (eastern happy) is the source of this 3835-nucleotide long non-coding RNA. NCBI's taxonomy places the organism in Eukaryota, Metazoa, Chordata, Actinopteri, Cichliformes, Cichlidae. The record is from Ensembl.
CACACAAUCUUCAAGUUCACAGUACAUGCUGGAAAAACCUGUUCCUAAAUGAAUAACUUCGUCUUGUUGUCACAUUUACAAGCAAACACUCCCGAGCUACACUUUUCACGUCAUUAUGGUUUACUCCUCUGCAGGUGCAUCUCUACUGCCACCAUGUGGUCGGAAGAUGCGGCUGCUGCAAUCUUGUGCACAUUUCCACUGACAAUAAAGACACAGCACACAGACAAGUUCUUAUUUUCCAGUAAAAAAAUGAAACAAAAAUAAAACAAAAACAAAACAAGACUUUAUUAAAGAAGCAUAAAAAAUAAAACUCUUGAUACAUUUCUCAUAACCGUCAAGUCAGCUCAAAUUAUACGAUUAUACAAUUUUUCCCGGCUCACGGUUAAAAGGUCCAUAAACUUUCAAAUAAAAUAUAUUUCAAUUUUAAAAUUUCUUCAAUAAUUUUCUCAUUUUGUUAUAAAUCGCCUAUAUGUAGUACACAGGAAAUAAGGAAAAUGAAAAAAAAAGAAAACAAAAUGGAAAACAAAAAUAAAUUUGAAGUAAUAAAAGGGUCACAUUAUUGUCUGGGAUAUUUAGGUAAGCAAAUAAAUUGUAAAAAAUAAAAUGUGUAAAAAGUUUUUUGUUUUUUUGUAUUUUUGUUUUUUUUGUAUCUUAAAAAUUAUUAGCUAAUGCCAGAAGGCUCGAAGACAUGCAGAUGGUUAACUUACAAAUAAUAACACAUGUUUUUUUUAGAAACUACGUUCAUCUUCAAUUAAGUUGUUUUGCUUUGAAAAACAAGAUCCCGAUGAUUGUAUCCAGGGUAUAUACAUACACACAGGUUAGGCCUGAAACCUAGUUUGCUGACGUUUUACAUUUUGGUUCUGCAUACAAAAAGAAUUAAAGCAAAAAUAGAGGAGAGCAGAGGUUCGAGGAGAGUCUGGCACCCCGUACUGGCGUGGCUCUCUUUGCAUUCCCCCCACCUCUAAUCACAAAAAAGGUCAGAGGUCACUGGCUAGCAUGCCUCAGGAAACCCUGUUUUCAAACCUUUAGGAAGGAAGUGGGGGAAGGGGGAGACGUCUUGUUAAGAAAAAAAAAAAAAAAAAAAAAAAAAGUACCUUUUAACAAUUAAACUACUGUACAUCAACCCUAACAUUCUCUCGACGGCCACAAACAUCCUGGUGCAACAGCAGGAUCUAUGCUGAACCCAUCUGGAAAUCACAACACAUUUUAUUGUUUAACGCGUCACCUCAGACAGUUGAAAGUAAGAGCUUUAAGUUGGGCCUCAGACUUGCAUCAGUCAUCACAGAAUGGCUCAUAUAGACGCGCUCGCAGCCCCGUGUUUGCUCUGAGGAACACGCUCCAGCCCCACGGGGCCGGGUGGGCAUUUAGAGGGGGAGGGGUGAGGGCGAGAAUGAGAACAGGGUCAUUGGGUCUACAGUGCAUUGGAGAAGUUGAUCUGAGAACAAAACGGCCUCCCUUUACCCACUUAUUUCUCCUGCGUUUGUGCAGGGAGUUGCACUAGAAGCACCACGAGCUCAUCUGCGCACCAAUUGGUGCGCUGCUGCUGCUCAACCAGGACAGCCUCGUCACGCGCGUAGGAAACAGACAAAAAUAAGUUAAACAUCAUCAUCAUCAUCAUCAUCAUCCAGGCUACAGCACCAAAGCACAGCAAAAUCAGCCCACAUAUUUACUCAAGAGUUACCUUUAAUUCCUUGACAUUUAAACCCUGCAACUCGUCCUGAUCUGUGAGACACCCUGAUGCAGCGCCAUACACACCAACAGGAUCUGCAUGUGAUGACUGUGUAGGGCAAUUACACACACACACCCCGACACACAAAAGACCCCCCCCUCCCAAAAAAAGAAAGAAAGAAAGAAAAAAGCAACAAACAGAAUAACUAAAAAGAAGCACAACAUUCUGCAGCUGCUGGGAUUUGAACACGACGAGUGUCUGGAAGCCCUGGAUGACCUAGCUACUAGCUGCCAUAAAGGAUAAGUUGAUUCUUCCUACCGUGUGAGCCUGAAAAUGUGAUCGUGUGUCUGUGCGUUCAGAGGAAGCCCUUGUAAAUUAGGUACGUCUUUUUCUUUUUCUUCUUUUCUUUAAAAUUCAGCUGUCAUGGCUUUGUCUCGUUCUACGAGCUGAAUCCACACGUGUCAGGGAGAAGAGAGAGGGAAAAACAAAACAAAAAACCUGCAACCGUGUAACGUCACACAGACGUUGGAAAAAAAAAAAAAAAAAAAAAAAUCAUACACAUAGUAUAAAGACUACAGGAGGCAGUUACUGCAAACUCAAUGAAAUCAAAAAAAAAAACCCAACUUAAAAACAGGAUGUACCCGCCUCACUGGAGUUACUCAGUAAUGCUAUGAAACACAUGACAGACCCCAAUCAACCAGCCACAUAGUGCACUACAUUUUGCCAGGAGUACAGCGCUGUAUGGGGACAACAGUGACGUCAGAGAGUGCCGUACAGCUUCGCUGUGAGAGACAGGUGGAAGACCUAACAAAAACAGUAAGAGCUGUUUCUUUUUCGCUUUUAGUUUAGAGGGGCCGGGCCUUACAGUGCAUGAAGAAAAGGUUCAAUGGAGGCCCCUUGUAAUUGUUUAGUGUAGGAGGAGCAGCAGGAGGCCUCUCUCCUUAACCUUAACUGGACAACACAUUCUUGUGUGACAUCAGAAAAGCCCCAUCUUAUCCUAGUGUUCAAAAUAUUGUCUGUCAGCCACACACUUGACAGUCAAGAGUCAAAAACUAGUAGAAAACACCAGAAACAGGCGGCUCUGGGCGUAACAGACGUGGGAGGACAACUACAGUAGUGUGGAUGGAUCAGAGCGUCGCUUUCCUUCAAGACCGAGUGUGCAGCAAAGAAGAACGGGACAGGGAGCAGACCUACUCUCGGCGGUGCGACGAACAGCAUGAGUGGGCGUUGUUCUCUCGCACACACACUCAUACUCGCAUAUCGCAGAGACAGAGGGGUGUAAAGGGAUUGUCAGGCUGCCCAAACACAGAGACCUGACCUCAAACACAUUACUUCACGUAUGGUACGUUUCUCACCUAUUAAAGGAAAAUUAAUGUGAAUCAAUGCGACAGCCACAUUUGAAAUGUGGGGCAGACUCAUCCAACAUGAAUUCACUCAAGAGAUGUCUAUUAAUAACAUUCAUUUGGCUUACUUACUGAUGGCUAUUCUUUUGUGGCAAAGAGAAACUGGAAUUGAUCCUUAAGAGGUCCCUUGGGUUUAUUGUUCUUCUAGGUGCCUGACAACACAGCGAUCUUUAAAAUAAAAACAGAGAGAAAAGUCCCAAACUUACAGAAAAAAAAGAGGAACCUUGCCACUUCGUGCCACAACAGCAUGAGUGAGAGCAAAGGACAAAGGGAUUUGUUGGAAACGGGCGGUGCCCUGUUGAGAACAGUAAAAUUAGGGAGUAGAAAAGUGCAGGCCUCGUCGACAGCUUCAUUGAAAAAUAUCUGUUAAGUAUAAAAGUGUCAAAAAGAAAGGCUGUGAGACAGAUAGAGAGCGAGAGAGAGAGAGAGCAGGCAGAGAUCUGAAGAAGAAGCCAGAAUGAAGAAAUGUUGAGACAGACCAGCAGGCAGCCGCAAGGGCCGCUCUGGGUCAAAAAGAAGGCCUGAAGAGAGAUAAGACACUAGUUUCCUUCCGUUAAGUUCAACACCAAGAGACUGGCUGAGCUCCAACUGUCUACAGACCAGUUUCAAUUAACUUCACUCUGAAAAUAAGUCACUAUUAAUUAUUAUCAUCAUCAUUUAUCGACAGUUACCAGCAAUAAAUCAGCAUCCUUAUAGUAUCGUCAUCUCUAUUAAUGCAUUUAUUAUGGUCCAUCAUGUGUGUGAAGGUUAUUAUUGUGACUCC